UACGGAGGGUGCUAGCGUUGUUCGGAAUUACUGGGCGUAAAGCGCACGUAGGCGGCGAUUCAAGUCAGAGGUGAAAGCCCGGGGCUCAACCCCGGAACUGCCUUUGAAACUAGAUUGCUAGAAUCUUGGAGAGGCGAGUGGAAUUCCGAGUGUAGAGGUGAAAUUCGUAGAUAUUCGGAAGAACACCAGUGGCGAAGGCGACUCGCUGGACAAGUAUUGACGCUGAGGUGCGAAAGCGUGGGGAGCAAACAGG
Molecule: ribosomal RNA, 253 nt
Filed under: uncultured bacterium
Lineage: Bacteria
Description: partial 16S ribosomal RNA
Rfam family: Bacterial small subunit ribosomal RNA
Source: RNAcentral